GCUGGCGGCNCGCUUAAACAUGCAAGUCGAACGUGAAGCCCGGGCUUGCCCGGGUGGAAAGUGGCGAACGGGUGCGUAACACGUGAGCAACCUGCCCCGAAGACCGGGAUAACACCGGGAAACCGGUGCUAAUACCGGAUGCCUUCACCACGUCGCAUGGCGAGGUGAAGAAAUGGAUUCCGCUUCGGGAUGGGCUCGCGGCCUAUCAGCUUGUUGGUGGGGUAACGGCCUACCGAGGCAACGACGGGUAGCUGGUCUGAGAGGAUGUCCAGCCACACUGGGACUGAGACACGGCCCAGACUCCUACGGGAGGCAGCAGUUAGGAAUCUUGCGCAAUGGGCGAAAGCCUGACGCAGCGAUGCCGCGUGCGGGAUGAAGGCCUUCGGGUCGUAAACCGCUUUCAGCAGGGACGAUUGUGACGGUACCUGCAGAAGAAGCCCCGGCCAACUACGUGCCAGCAGCCGCGGUAAUACGUAGGGGGCGAGCGUUGUCCGGAUUUAUUGGGCGUAAAGAGCUCGUAGGCGGUUUGGUAAGUCGGGUGUGAAAUCUCCACGCUCAACGUGGAGGGGCCACUCGAUACUGCCAUGACUCGAGUCCGGUAGAGGAGUGUGGAAUUCCCGGUGUAGCGGU
Molecule: ribosomal RNA, 630 nt
Filed under: uncultured soil bacterium
Lineage: Bacteria
Description: bacterial SSU rRNA
Rfam family: Bacterial small subunit ribosomal RNA
Source: RNAcentral